Molecule: long non-coding RNA, 2381 nt
Filed under: Homo sapiens (human)
Lineage: Eukaryota; Metazoa; Chordata; Mammalia; Primates; Hominidae
Description: ZBED3 antisense RNA 1, transcript variant 9 (ZBED3-AS1)
Source: RNAcentral
AAUGAAACAGGAGAGUUCCCUGAUUUCCUCCCGGCCCCCGCCCUCCCACAGCCCUUUGCAGGACGUGCAACAGGGUUGUGGCUCGUGUGUUCGGUCUCUGCCUGCUGAAACCCCUUAUGGGAGGUGGAGCAUGCAGACGGACGGGUGCAGGAGCCAGGGUGCAAAAGCUGGGGCGCUGGGCUUCCAGCCCCACGGCAGUGUCCAGGGGCAGGAUCCCGUGAUUCCCGGAGCCCAAAUGGGCGUGUGUUACAGUGUGCUCUUUUAGCCUUACCAUCAGCUGACGGCUUAAGUGUUAACCAGCUCAAUAGACCCUCUGCCUUUUUGCAAGCGCAGAGGGUCAGUGUGACAGUUUCUGUAUCUCAGCUCUUGUCUCACCUCCCAGAAGAAUCAGGUCACACAUGGACUUGAAGGAUGACGGGCCUGUCUAAUUGCAGGAAAACAAACUCAGGGCUCCCACUGAUUCUACAUUACGGAAAACACAGAUCCUGGUGCCGAACAUGAGGACAGGGCAGGCCGAAGGAGAAAGUGGAAGGAGGGGAGCUUCUCUCUCAGCCUCAUCCUUCUGGGCCUGGAUGCUGGAGAGUCAUGAGGUGCUUCAGAGUACUCUGGGUGAGGAGGGAAAGAUGGUGCCCACCACAUGGAGGCCAGCCUAGGUCUUGUAUGAAACCUGUGAGGCCAGCAGGAGCCAGGCCGUGGCCUGCUGACUGCAUCUGCCAGAUGACUACCAAUGUGAGAUUCUCUCUCCCUUGCUGUCUUUGAAAAAGCAAGUUGCCAUGUGAAGAGGGCCAUAUAGCAUAGGAGCUGAAGGCAGCCUCCAACUGACGGCAAGAAAAUGAGGUCCUCAGUCUGACAACCUGCAAGAAACUGAAUGUUCUAAAAGCCACAUGAGCUUGGGAGCAGAUCUGACCCCAGCCAAAUCUCUGAAGUCCGCAGGCAGGAAAUGAAGAUCAGAAAAAGGCUAUUGUCUCAUGAAUAUGAGCCAGACUCCACAGAAGCUGGAGUCCUUCAUUAUGGAGCUAAACACAUACACCUGGCUUAGGAGUCAGAAAAACUGAAAGAGAAUUCAGGGAAGUAGAGAAAUUGCAAGCCCAGAUGCUGCUUCAUACCAAAGAAGCAAGUCAGCAGGUCAGCAACAAUGUGUAUCAGUUCCAAAAUGACUUACACAGGUACCAAGACAAGACAUUAUAUACACUUAUAUAGUCAAAUACUUUAAAACUGUUAACAAACUUGCUACAAUUGUCUCAUUUGUCUUUUAACCUUAAUAUCACAGAUCAAGUUUGUAAUCUCAAAAGUUCACCCUGGCUGCUGUGUGGAGUAUUCUCUUAUCUGCUCAUAUUACACUGUGCUUAUUCAUUCAUCAGUUAAUGGAAAUUUGGGUUGUUUCCUGAUUUUGACUGUAAUGAAUAAUGUUGCUGUAAACAUUCAUGUACAGUUUUGUGUGGACAUGCUUUUCUUUCUCUUGGGUAGGUUCCUAUGAGUGGAAUCACUAGAUUGUAUGGUAAAUGUAUGUUUAACUUUUAAAGAAACUGUCAAACUGUUUUCUAACAUGAACGGGCCAUUUUACGUUCUUAUCAACAAUAUAUGAUGGUUUCAAUUUUCCCACAUCCUCACCAACAUUUGGUAUUGUCUCUCUUUUACAUCAUAACUAUUUUAGUGGGGAUGUAGUGAUAUCUUAUCGUGGUUUUAAUUUGUGUCUCCCUAAUGACUAAUGAUAUUGUGCAUCUUUGCAUAUGCUUGUUAGCCAUUUAUGUACAUUCUUUAGUGAAAUGGCUAUUCAAAUCUUCUGCCCAUUUAAAAAUCGAGUUGUUUUUCUUAUUAUUCAGUUGUAAGAGUUUUUUCUUUAUUCUGUGCAAAAGUCCUUUAUCAAGUCUAGGAUUUUUGAAUAUUUUCUCAACCUAGAGCUUGUUUUUCAACAUUUUUUUCUUAAUGAUCUUUUGAAGUGCAAAAGUUUGAUUUUGAUGAAGUCUAAUGUAUCACUUCUUCCUUUAACUGUCAUGAUUUUUGUGUCGUAUCUAAGAACUCUUUACCCAACUCAAAGUUACCAAGGUAUUUUCUUCCAGAAGUUUUGCAGUUUUAACUCUUCUAUAUAGGCCUGUGAUCCAUUUUUAAUUCAUUUUUUGCAUAUGAUGUGAGAGAAGGGCCUAAGUUCAUAUUCGUACAUGUGGAUGUACAAUGGUUCCAGGAUCACUUGCUGAGAAAAGACUAUCCUUUCCCCAUUGAUUUUUUUGGCACCUGUGUCAAAAAUCAAUUGACCAUAAAUGCAAGCGUUUAUAUCUGAACUCUCAGUUCUUCUCCAUUCAUCUCUAAGGAUAUGUCUAUGCUUACAUCAAUAUCACAGUGUAUUCAUGUGGCUUUGUAGUAAAUUUUGAAAUUGGGUGAUA